AAAUUUUUACUUUUAUCCUUCCCCACAUUUUAGGUAUAUGGUGUUAUACUUUAUAUCCUUUUCUUUUGUGAAGCCCUUGACAGGUUUUUGUAGAUAAACUUAAUUUUGCUGCUUUUGUGUUUUCUACUUUUUUUUUUUUUUAAACUCCUACUAAUGGUCUAUCCUUUCCACUUGGAGUCCCCUUUUAACAUUUCUUGGAGUGCUGGUUUAGUGGUUUAGUGGCUUUUGUUGUU
Lontra canadensis (Northern American river otter) is the source of this 233-nucleotide long non-coding RNA. RefSeq lists it as uncharacterized. The transcript is spliced from 3 exons. The record is from RefSeq and is a predicted model, not a curated record. NCBI's taxonomy places the organism in Eukaryota, Metazoa, Chordata, Mammalia, Carnivora, Mustelidae.